GGGGGCGUUUGGUUUCGACGGGGGCAGUUCGAGCACGGGCCGCGGGUAGUGGGGCCGCGUCCACUUCAACACCGCGGGGCCAAAUUUAAGUGGCAACAAGCAAAACGCUCAACUGGCUCUGGCUGCCUGAUCACGCAGCCGCCAGGCUUCUACCCCUCAUCGCCCAUGUGAGGGGAUAGGGGCUCAACCGAGUGGGCUACGCCGUCCGGCCGCCGCCCGAGGCCGACGGAAGAAGACAAUCGGGCUGGCCUGAAGGGAAGCCCGUCGCGGGGCGUCCCGAAGGCGAGACGAAUACCGCGACUACACCCGUAGACGCCGGUGUGGCGAUGUCUCCGGACAGGGGUUCGAUUCCCCUCGCCUCCAUUA
This 366-nucleotide transfer-messenger RNA is filed under the name Candidatus Reconcilbacillus cellulovorans. Its description in RNAcentral is "Paenibacillaceae bacterium JTherm transfer-messenger RNA". It matches the Rfam family "transfer-messenger RNA". From Rfam's summary of the family: Bacterial tmRNA, also known as 10Sa RNA or SsrA, is named for its dual tRNA and mRNA-like properties. Its role is to liberate the mRNA from a stalled ribosome. To accomplish this part of the tmRNA is used as a reading frame that ends in a translation stop signal. The record is from RNAcentral. Lineage: Bacteria; Bacillati; Bacillota; Bacilli; Caryophanales; Paenibacillaceae. RNAcentral also lists the same sequence under 1 other name.